CCCACUUCUUGGCCUUUUGGCUAAGAUCAAGUGUGUGUAGAUAAGCCCAUGGUAAGAGGAAAAACUUUUCAGUCUGUAGUCUAGAUUGCUAAUGCGCUCACAAUAUAAAGAUUUGUUCAUAUAUAUUUUUGUCCAUUGGAGAUAACAGAUUUUUUUCUUCUUUGGGACACCCAUAUUCACCUUCCUGUGGCAGCAGCAGGAAAAUAUAGGUACACAUA
Non-coding RNA from Podarcis lilfordi (Lilford's wall lizard), 218 nucleotides. Lineage: Eukaryota; Metazoa; Chordata; Lepidosauria; Squamata; Lacertidae. The record is from the annotation of a GenBank genome assembly.